GGGCUCCCCAAGAUCAGAGCAGGAAUUCUUCAAGAUAUGCCGACCGAAGAAGAAAUCCCUGCAAAAUGGAAUAUCGAUCCAGAGGAGUCACAGGUCCCAAGUCCCUGUACGGAGUCACCAAAACUGUUGCCUAAAUGUCUGUGGGGAAAAAAAGACUCCAAACCAAAUUAGAGGGGUGUGCAGUACACCUGGAAUCAGCUGCCCCGGGGUGGAAACACAGUCCCACCAUUUGCCAUGGACUGAUCCAGACUGCACUGGAAAAUGGUGAGGCUCCAGAACAUCUACAGUACAUAGAUUACAUCAUUGCAUGGGGGAACACAGUGGGAGAAGUCUUUGAGAAAGGAGAGAAGAUAAUCCAGAUUCUCAUAAGAGCUGGUUUUGCCAUUAAACAUUAAGGUCAAGGGACCUGCUCAGGAAAUUCAGUUCCUAGGAAUGAAGUGGCAAGAUGGACACUGCUGGAUUCCAAUAGAGGUGAUUAACAAAAUAGCAACCAUGUCCCCACCAACCAGCAAGAAGGAAACACAGGCUUUCCUAGGCACCGUGGGCUUUUGGAGAAUGCAUAUCCCUGAGUACAAUCAGAUUGUAAGUCCUCUCUACCUUAUGACACGGAAGAAAAAUGAUUUCCACUGGGGCCCUGAACAACAACAGACCUUUGAACAAAUUAAACAGGAGAUUGCCCAUGCAGUAGCCCUUGGGCCAGUCAGGACAGGACAGGAUGUGAAGAACUUGCUCUACACUGCAGUCAUGGAGAAUGACCCUUCCUAGAGCCUCUGGCAGAAAGUGCCUGGGGAGACACGUGGAUGACUACUGGGAUUCUGGAGUUGGGGAUACAAAGGAUCUGAAACCAGUUAUACCCCAACUGAGGAAGAGAUCCUGGCUGCUUAUUGUGGUGGUUCUCCCCCAGCUGGCCUGGGGGAUUCGGGAAGAGUUAAAGUUAGCAGGAACCUUUGUUCAGGGGAGAAUUACGCCUGGACCCGGAAAUUGUAACAAUAUGGUUUUCCGGUAAAAUGUGCUGAACACAGCAAAAUGUGUUUCGUGACAUGUGCAGUAAGCAGAGUUAUAUAACACCGUUAGUGGCCAAUGGAAGAAUAUUUAUGUAUGUGGGAACCAGUGGAGAGUUGACAUGUGUAGCCUAAAAAGUGUAUAAAAGUAGCAGACAUCGUGCAAUAAAGUGUUCCAGCCUCUGGAUCCACAAGGGUUUUGUGUCGUGUCCCGCCUCAACCCACGACAGCUUAUGAAGGAGUUCAAGCUGCCUUAGAAGAGAUGGGCACUGAAGCACAGCUCCUCCUGGUACCCAGACUACCAGUGCUGGACUGGAUGUUCAAAGGAAAAACUCCUUCUACAACCAUCACGCCACCGAUGCCACAUGGAGUAAGUGAAUCACUCUGAUCACACAGCAAACCCAGAUAGGGAAUCCUAAUUGCCCUGGGAUUCUGGAAACUAUCACCAACUGGCCCAAAGGUGAGAGUGUCGGACUAUCCUCUGAAGAAGAAGAGGAGUAGGUGACACAGGCUGAGGAGGCCCAACCAUAUAACCAGCUACCAGAAGAUGAAAAACAAUAUGCUCUCUUCACAGAUGGCUCCUGUCGCAUUGUAGGGACAAACCGGAAAUGGAAGGCAGCUGUAUGGAGUCCCACACGGCGAGUUGUAGAAGUGACUGAAGGACAAGGUGGGUCAAGUCAGGUUGCAGAGCUUAAAACUGUUCAGCUGGUUUUGGAUUUUGCUAAACUAGAGAAAUGGCCAAGACUCUAUCACUACACUGACUCAUGGAUGGUAGCCAAUGCUCUAUGGGGAUGGUUAGAGUGAUGAAGUAAGGCCAACUGGCAGGGCUUGUUUUUGCACAAGACCUGGUUUUAUUUGGUUAAUAAUGCAAAAAGAUGGGGAAACAUGUUGUGUAACCUAAGGGGACCUAAUUUUGAGUGAGAAUGGUCUGUAAUGUUUCAUUGUAAAUAUAUAUGUAUAUAGUUUUAAAGGGUGUUAAUUUGGGCAUGACAUAGGUGGUAUAGAAUAAGGGAUGGAUAAUGUCCUAGUUAAAGCAGCCAGGACCAGUUCAUCACUGUGUGGGUGCAACCCAAACUGUGUAUUCUAAACCCUCUAUGUCAUUUCCCAGAAACUGUUAACAAUAGACCAUUUGCAGCAACUGCCCAGGGCACACCUGACCCCUCAGGCUAUAAGCUGGGUGUUAAGAGGCCUGUGAGAGAAAAGGAUGUUCCUGUCCACCCACAACUCACAGUCACCCAUUGUGGAAUUCCCUGCCCUGGGGGAGACGCUGGGCAUUCCUGCCUGAACCUGAGUGUAUAUAAUCUUAGGGUCUUGGGACUUCUGGUACCACUCGUGGGAUCCAGAGGAGGGCCACCACUCUUGACCAGACUGCGACUACCACUCUCAACCAGAGUGCAACCAUUGCUCUCAACUGGACUGCAACCACCGCUUGCACCAACAGGUUCUUCCUCUCCUUUUAUUUUUGAACUGCAGGGGGCCCACGUGGGGCUCAGCACGGGGGCCAAUGAACACCAUUCUGUUCGUACCCCAGGGUACCAGGUUAUACAUCUGGUCUUUUUGUGGUUUAAAACCAAUUCAUCAUCUGUAUAAUUGUAUUUAUUGUAUUAUUUUAUUAAAUUGUAAUUCUGACUUAUAA
This is a long non-coding RNA of Myiozetetes cayanensis, 2637 nucleotides long. RefSeq lists it as uncharacterized. The record is from RefSeq and is a predicted model, not a curated record. The transcript has 2 exons. NCBI's taxonomy places the organism in Eukaryota, Metazoa, Chordata, Aves, Passeriformes, Tyrannidae.